CACCAAUUUCUUCUUGUUUUCAUAACAGAUAUUACAAAACCUAUAUUCCAACAAUUUAUUUCAAAAUUCUAUCUCAUAGACUUUUUUUAUGCAUACAAAAAAAAUAAAAAAAUCACAAAAACACUGAUCUCCGAGGAAAAUUCAAAACGGGAAUUCCUUAAUCAAAUGGCAAAAUCUAACGGAAAACACAUCAAACAAAUGGACAACAACUGUCAUAUUUCUGACUUUGUACAGGCAUUUUCAAAUGUAGAAAAUGGUGUGUUGAACAUGGUUUUACAGCGCUUAACCUCUCACUUGAACGACAGUCACAUCAAAUUCCAUUAAAUUGACAACGUUGCGUGAACAAAACAACGACACAAUAGGGUACAACAGCAACACGAACCCCGCCAAACCGUAGGCCAAUUAAAUUCAAAUACUGUGUUUUCUAUUAAUUUGUAUCUGUUCUAUAUCUGGUCACAAGACUUUUAUUAAAUACUCGCGG
Molecule: long non-coding RNA, 481 nt
Filed under: Mytilus galloprovincialis (Mediterranean mussel)
Lineage: Eukaryota; Metazoa; Mollusca; Bivalvia; Mytilida; Mytilidae
Source: RNAcentral